GAUGAACGCUGGCGGCGUGCUUAACACAUGCAAGUCGAGCGAAGCACUUAUGAAAGAUUCUUCGGAUGAUUUCAUUUGUGGCCGAGCGGCGGACGGGUGAGUAACGCGUGGGUAACCUGCCUCAUACAGGGGGAUAACAGUUGGAAACGACUGCUAAUACCGCAUAAGCGCACAGUACCGCAUGGUACCGUGUGAAAAACUCCGGUGGUAUGAGAUGGACCCGCGUCUGAUUAGCUAGUUGGUGGGGUAACGGCCUACCAAGGCGACGAUCAGUAGCCGACCUGAGAGGGUGACCGGCCACAUUGGGACUGAGACACGGCCCAAACUCCUACGGGAGGCAGCAGUGGGGAAUAUUGCACAAUGGGGGAAACCCUGAUGCAGCAACGCCGCGUGAGUGAAGAAGUAUUUCGGUAUGUAAAGCUCUAUCAGCAGGGAAGAAAAUGACGGUACCUGACUAAGAAGCCCCGGCUAACUACGUGCCAGCCGCCGCAGUAA
RNAcentral lists this ribosomal RNA (495 nucleotides) under uncultured bacterium. Its description in RNAcentral is "partial 16S ribosomal RNA". It matches the Rfam family "Bacterial small subunit ribosomal RNA", at positions 28 to 523 of the family's 1533-position model. The record is from RNAcentral.